This 193-nucleotide ribosomal RNA is filed under the name Pseudoalteromonas piscicida. RNAcentral describes it as "partial 16S ribosomal RNA". It matches the Rfam family "Bacterial small subunit ribosomal RNA", at positions 1 to 188 of the family's 1533-position model. The record is from RNAcentral. Lineage: Bacteria; Pseudomonadati; Pseudomonadota; Gammaproteobacteria; Alteromonadales; Pseudoalteromonadaceae.
UUAAUUGAAGAGUUUGAUCAUGGCUCAGAUUGAACGCUGGCGGCAGGCCUAACACAUGCAAGUCGAGCGGUAACAUUUCUAGCUUGCUAGAAGAUGACGAGCGGCGGACGGGUGAGUAAUGCUUGGGAACAUGCCUUGAGGUGGGGGACAACCAUUGGAAACGAUGGCUAAUACCGCAUAAUGUCUACGCACC